RNAcentral lists this ribosomal RNA (352 nucleotides) under uncultured bacterium. RNAcentral's name for it is "bacterial SSU rRNA". It matches the Rfam family "Bacterial small subunit ribosomal RNA", at positions 28 to 310 of the family's 1533-position model. The record is from RNAcentral.
GAUAAACGCUGGCGGCGUGCCUAAUACAUGCAAGUUGAGCGGUAAGGUUCUGCACCCACUAUUUGACCAGAUGAGUCUUUCGCAAGAGAGAUACUAUCUGCAGCGAUAAUCUCUGGCUGAGAUUAUAGUCGAAUGAUGAGUGUAGAAUACACGAGCGGCGGACGGCAGAGUAACGCGUAGGAACGUACCCCAAACAGAGGCAUAAGCACCGGAAACGGUGUCUAAUACCGCAUAAUAUCUUCGGAUUAAAGCUUCGGCGGUUUGGGAGCGGCCUGCGUAUGAUUAGCUAGUUGGUGAGGUAAUAGCUCACCAAGGCGACGAUCAUUAGCUGGUCUGAGAGGAUGAUCAGCCU